CCCAGAUCCAGGUUGCUGUCACAACUGAGCUGUAACACCGAGCUGUAACACACUUUGCUGCAACAAUGUCAACCGGGAAAUCCCAGGGCAGGACUUGUGCCCAAAGUUAAGCAGUAAGAUUUUGAUACAGAGGUGCCCCUGAGGCAGAGGGUAUGAAACGUUAAGUGGUCUGCAGCCCGUAAGGAGACAGUAUGAUGCACCGCCAUGGCUUGGGAGGCUCCUGGGGUCUGAGGACGGGUUGACUAGCACUGAUCCUCCGCCCAGAUCCCGAGUCCGAUCUCACAGAUCUCAAGGAGGAAUCUAGGGGAACAGCAGAGACUAUCUCCUCCAGGUACCUCUGUAAAUGACUGAACGGUGGGACAUGCUCCUGGUGGUGGCAGCAUCAGAAAGGUCCUAUGCUCUAUUCAGGAAUGAUAUCUCUAUAGAGAAAUAAAUGAGAGAAGGAAAAGACACAAGCCUUUUCUUGCAAUGGAAGAAUGGAAGGUUGUGCCGACUGGCCAGCCGAAGCGCAAGGGCUGGAAGAGAUUAGGGGCCUCUGAUGACAUCAAUAGAGAGAGAAGAUUACCAGUGUCGGUGGAGGGAUGAUUGCUUCAGGAAGGCCUUUCAAAGGCCUGACAACUUCUCUUGAAGGAUGGCCCUAGCAGUGCUCUCUAAAGGUAGGACUGUCAGUCUGUGCGUGUGGAGAACAGUUCAAAGAAAACAAAACACUUAAGCGUAAUCUUUCAGAGGGUGAGGAAUCGUGGCAUAAUGAUGAUAAAACGCUACUUCUGGAUCUGACAUGCAGCACAGCUGUGUGACGGCAAGAAGAUUCUGGCUAAGCCAAAAUCUGUGCAUUCACUCUGCCUGCCUUUCUUCCAGAGAGAGAGGGGAUCUGGGCCCAACAUACACAGGUGAUCCAGGAACUGGCCUGGUACCCAGAUCCUACGGCUGCUUCACAACCAGCCCAGAGUGAACGCUGAUCUUCCAGGAGACCCCUGCCACCACGGCUUCCACAGGGAGAUCUUGAAGCAAAUAUAUACACCUUGGAGAGGGUUACAGUAAGCCUUUCCUAAGUCUGAACCCCAGGCUCUGAGAGCCAUCCCAGGAUGAGGCCCUUUACUUCUGUCUCUGACCUCCCAGCUCUAAGUGGCUUGGGGACAUCAGUGACUCUCCUGCAUCUGCCCUGUAAAGAGUCCACAGAGCGUUCGCACACCUCUCUCUACCACCUUGCUCAGUACAAACGGGGGUCACCAAAGCUGAUCAAAUCACCACCGCCCAGGGCUUCCGGAGUCCCAGAAGAGCAUCCCCUAACGAAUACUAGUUUCUAUUUCGAGAAGGAAAGGUGAAAGAACCAGAAGACAUUGGAAGGGGAAAGCCCCUCUCUAUAAGAGAGGAGGAAAAUCAAGUCAAGUCAAUUUCUCAGGAAGAAGAAGAGAAAUAGAAAACAGUGGAGAAAUGAGUACAAGGAAGGCAACAAAGGGGAUGCACCUGAGGGGGCGUAAGCCUCGUGUGGACCUGGGAACUGCUACUCACCACACAUUCUACUUCCUCAGCACUACAGCAACGGCAGGGACGCCAGUAAACAAAGGAUUAACAUUUUACAGGAAGAAAACAAGGUAUGAGCUCCUUUCUAUCAUUCACACCCACAUGUUCAUAAAAGCAAGAAAGAGUUAUACUGGGAAAUGGGGGAAUGAAAUGCUCCUUCAAAAUAUUUCUUAAAACAGCCCAUGCCAAAGGAAAUUUGUGAAUUUAUUUAAGUCUGGAAAACAAACAACAACAACACAGAAAUAAAACUCUCACGCAGACCCUCAACAUCCACAGCACAUCAAGAAGAGCAGAGGAGCUGACAGCCUUGGCGAAUCGAAAAGGUGCACUGAUUCCCGGCUCAAAAUCAGUUUCCUCAAGGAAAGAAUCACUACGGUUGCAUCCUGCCUUGAAAUCCAGGGGUCACAGCCCCUGAAAUUUGAAGGAGGACUGCUUAAAAGUCUGGCAGUUUGGGGUUUAGGGGAUCUAGAAAUUCAAGCGGAAGCUCACAAAGAACGAGUAACGCAGAAUUCCCAAAGCCGUGAAACCUUGCUACUUAAGAUAAUGACAGAAAUUUAUGACUGCUUCCUUCCCCGGCAGAAAGGAGCACAAUUAGAAGGCUGAAAACAACAGGCCCUUUAUGCAAGCACGUUACGUUUUGCUGAUCCUAUUGCACGUUGGCUGGGAGGUAGGAAUAAACAGGACAACACCCUGUCUAACCCCAGGAGGAGGGGGCGGAGAGGGAGCCAGUGACGCUCAGCUCAUUCUUGGGCAUGUAUGUGCACACCAUUUAUUCGCAAAUUGAGGUACUUAAGAAAAUUGGGCAUGCAACAGUCAGGGAUAGUAUGAGCAUUCAGAGAGCCUUUUAUUGCACAAUCAAACCUUUUAAGAACGAGCCAUGUGUAAUAGGGAGUUUCAGUUUUUCUCUGCUAUAAAUUACGUUGAAGGUAUUUCAGUAAUUGAUCAUUAUUUCUCUGUACGCUUUACUUAUCAGUCCUAUUUUUGUUCAAUCUUUGAAAAACUUAAUAAUUAGGAUGAGCAAACGUACAAGCAAUGCCUCCCUCCCUGUGACCUGUUGUGUCAAAAAAGCUUGCAAGGACUCAAUCAGCAGCUACGGGGGAAGAAUUCGUGGUAAUCUGACCCAUCUCCCUUCUCCACACAGGGAGUUGCCAGUCUGGGCGCCCAGUGCUCUGAUGCCCCCUCAAUGGAGAAUUCUCCUCCAGGACAGCAGAUGCUAAGCCAAGUCAGGUUCCCAUCAGCCGGUCACGAGAUGGAUAUGUACCGCUGGUCCCCAGAAAACUAAGAAAAGAUCUGACCUCUCUUGCAACUCUCAUUGCAUACACCAGACUGCGUGGACCAUCAGUCAUUUCCUGGUGUCCAAAAUCAGUUAAGGAAAACCAUUCUCAAAGCUCACUGCCCUCCAGCCACACUGGCCUUCUUUCUGCUCCUCUAGUCCACUGCAGUGGUUCCCGCCUUAGGGCCUCUGGACUUGAACUUCCCUCAGCCUGAGAUGCUUUUCCACCAGAUUAUCACCAGGCUGGCUCCCUUGCCGCUUCAGCCUUUCUGCAAAUGUCACUUUUUAAAGAAGCCUUUCCCUCCUCACCCUAACGAUGCUACUGGUCCCCAGUCACUCUGCCACCACCUUCACUCUGUUUUCCUCAUAGUUAACAUCUUAGUCAUCUGUUUUUAUGUAUUUGUUUUACGUCUGUUCUCCCUGGCUAGAAUGUAAGUUCCACGAGGACAGAGGUCUCAGCAGUCUUGUUCACCCCUGUGAUCUUGGCAUCUUAAAUCCUACCUGGCACACAGUACGUGCUUAAUAGAGAUUUAUUUUUAAGAAUGAAUAAGUGAAUAAAUAAACAGACAAUGAACAGAUGAACAAGACAAUACAAUCUGGUAAAGAACCACUGGGGAAAAGGUCAAAGCAGAAUUCGUCACCUAUUAUCAACCACACUGCUGCCUUUUUUUUUUCAUUUUCCCAAGAGGGACAGGGGGUGAGGCUAUAUGUGAAUGGUAGAGUUUCGGAAGCACAACUACAGAAGACACAGCAAUUUUAUGGUGCUUUAAACUUAAAGCCCUUCUGAAAUGAUCUGCAGGAGGUUCUUCAAAUUUAAAUAGAAGAGGAAAAAAAAAA
This is a non-coding RNA of Vicugna pacos (alpaca), 3634 nucleotides long. The record is from RefSeq and is a predicted model, not a curated record. Lineage: Eukaryota; Metazoa; Chordata; Mammalia; Artiodactyla; Camelidae.